This 75-nucleotide transfer RNA is filed under the name Lacipirellula limnantheis. RNAcentral's name for it is "Planctomycetes bacterium I41 tRNA-Pro". It matches the Rfam family "tRNA". Rfam says of the family: Transfer RNA (tRNA) molecules are approximately 80 nucleotides in length. Their secondary structure includes four short double-helical elements and three loops (D, anti-codon, and T loops). The record is from RNAcentral. Lineage: Bacteria; Pseudomonadati; Planctomycetota; Planctomycetia; Pirellulales; Lacipirellulaceae.
CGGGCCGUAGCGCAGGCUGGUAGCGCGUUUGACUGGGGGUCAAAAGGUCGCAGGUUCGAAUCCUGUCGGCCCGAC